Molecule: ribosomal RNA, 449 nt
Filed under: uncultured bacterium
Lineage: Bacteria
Description: partial 16S ribosomal RNA
Rfam family: Bacterial small subunit ribosomal RNA
Source: RNAcentral
AACGAACGCUGGCGGCAUGCCUAACACAUGCAGGUCGAACGAAGCCUUCGGGCUUAGUGGCGCACGGGUGCGUAACGCGUGGGAAUCUGCCCUUUGGUUCGGAAUAACAGUUGGAAACGACUGCUAAUACCGGAUGAUGACGAAAGUCCAAAGAUUUAUCGCCAGAGGAUGAGCCCGCGUAGGAUUAGCUAGUUGGUGUGGCAAAGGCGCACCAAGGCGACGAUCCUUAGCUGGUCUGAGAGGAUGAUCAGCCACACUGGGACUGAGACACGGCCCAGACUCCUACGGGAGGCAGCAGUGGGGAAUAUUGGACAAUGGGCGAAAGCCUGAUCCAGCAAUGCCGCGUGGGUGAUGAAGGCCCUAGGGUUGUAAAGCUCUUUUACCCGGGAUGAUAAUGACAGUACCGGGAGAAUAAGCCCCGGCUAACUCCGUGCCAGCCGCCGCCGUAA